This 119-nucleotide ribosomal RNA is filed under the name Pteropus alecto (black flying fox). Lineage: Eukaryota; Metazoa; Chordata; Mammalia; Chiroptera; Pteropodidae. The record is from RNAcentral.
GUCUAUGGCCAUGCCACCCUGAACAUUCCCAAUCUUGCCUGAUCUCAGAAGCUAAGCAGGGUCGGGCCUGGUUAGUACUUGGAUAGUAGACCACCUGGGAAUACCAAGUGCUGUAGGAG